RNAcentral lists this long non-coding RNA (1326 nucleotides) under Homo sapiens (human). RNAcentral describes it as "HSALNT0005403". The record is from RNAcentral. Lineage: Eukaryota; Metazoa; Chordata; Mammalia; Primates; Hominidae.
CAGAUCUACCACCUGACUUCUGGAGAAAAGGAGCCAUGCCCAUGCCUUGAAACACACUUGGCUCUACGGUCACUAGGAAAUUGAUAUCUUGGGAAGUGCUCUACGGGAAUGGUCAGGUUGGAGAGAGAGACUGACUGCCAAGAAGACGUUAAGAAUGACAGAGUGUGAGAAGCUGCGCAACGCCAGCCUUGGCACAGACAGCUACGCCAUCCGAGGCCAAAGUGUACCUCUAAGGGAGCCCCAGUGGUUGGACCAAGCUACCGGGUGGCCUCAGAGGACAGCGAGGGGGCUGAAGCCUGAGGAAUACCUCUUUCUUCCUGGCUGCCCAGAGCCCUGCCCUCAUGCUCACACCACAUUCCUGCAAGGAGACAUUGCCUUGGUCUGCUAGCCUGGACCCUCUCAGAGUUGGAAGGGCCUUUUAGAGUAAGUGACUUGCUGGACUCAGACCAGGGUGGCAGAAGCAGAAUCUGCCUUGGGCACCCCUGGAGUCGUUCCCCCUCUUCGGGCCUCCUUUUGCCCAUCUGCACAAAAAGCAUGUUGGGCAACCCAGAGCUUUGUGACGGCUACUUCCUCCACUGUGGCAAGCCAAGACCUCCAGCUCUGGGUGGCUGGCUUCAGAAUCAGCACAGCGACGCUGUGAUCUCAUGCUGAUUAAGAGCAAGAGAUAACAGCAUAGGUGGGGCUAUGUGGGCCUGGAGUCAGCCCCAUCAGGGUUUGAAUCCAUUUCUGUCACUAGCUAGCCAUGUGACUUUAGGCAGGUCACAACUUCUCUGAGUCUUAUUUAUAUGAUCUGUAAUAAUACCUCAUAGUGGCAUCCUCAGGAUCCAGUGAGACAAUAUGUGUGCAAAACAAGCGUUACAGUUCGCUCUCAACAAAUGUUCAUUUUGUUCCUUUAUCCUUUCCCUCUGAUUGGCAGGAUAUAUGUCUUCGAUUAAUAGAAAAUGGCAAAACAAGUUCCUUACCAUGUUCCAAGAUUAAAAAUGUAGAACAUGGGAACCUUAAGGAAAAAAAUUAUGUAAAAGGAUACUUGGAGAUAUAAAGGUGGCCUUGUCAAUAUAUUCAUUAAAUUUACUCUUGGCCCACCCAGCAAUAUAUAUGAAUGAGGUAUGGAUGAUCUUGUCCUUUGAAGGAGUCACAUCUAGUUGUGGAGAUAAACACAGCAGACUGUUACAAAAUUAUUUUGGCCCAGGCACAGUGGCUCACACCUAUAAUCCCAACACUUUGGGAGGCCAAGGCAGGAGCAUCUCUUGAGCUCAGGAGUUCGAGACCAGGGCAACAUAGGGAGGAUCUCAAAAAUAAAAGAACAAAAAUCUCCUUAUGUUGUCC